Delphinapterus leucas (beluga whale) is the source of this 1971-nucleotide non-coding RNA. The record is from RefSeq and is a predicted model, not a curated record. Lineage: Eukaryota; Metazoa; Chordata; Mammalia; Artiodactyla; Monodontidae.
GCGGGCCGCCCCUCCUCGCCAGCUUGCUUCCUGGCGGCGCCUCGCGCGGAGGAAGACCUGGCGGUGCAAGGCUGCAGCUCUGCCGGCUAUUGCUCUGAAUACAAAAGAGCCUUUCUCACGCCCCUGCGCCCUUCCCGGCCCGGGACCCCCGGACGGAAGGAGCUGGCUCGUUGGACGCUGGAGACGACAGCUGUCGGGGCCACACCACCAUUUCUGUGGUUCUUGCAGAGAAGUGUGGUUCCAAGUAUUUAUUUUAAAGGAAAUUUUAAUAAUGAUUAUAACGAUGACUUUUGUCCCCUCUUCCAAUUUAAGAGAAAAAACAAACAGGGAUGAAGGCGUUUGAAGCCCCGGCAAGUGCCCAAGAAAGCUAACCUGCCCAGGUCCGGGUCUUCCCGGGCCCUCUCAUACUUCAAAGGCGUUAAUUAAGCAAGCUCUGGGCCUCCAGCUUUGUGGCUUCGUUUUCCGACUCAGCUAAAUGAUGAGAAUGGUCUUCCCAGACUGUAAACGGAGUAUUGAUCAGCUUCUGAGUCUUCAGAUGAGCUAGUCUUGCUUGUAGAAUUACAUGGUUCUCGAAGCUGGAAAAAAGAAAUGGCCUGGUUGUCAGCACUCGCCCAAACGCUAAGGUUACUUUUUUGAACAGAAUUGGGAAUUAAACUGCCAAGACAUCGGUAACGAGCAGGAAUUGGGAUUGUUCCUGCAUUUUCUUCCACCUCCUUUAACCUUCCUAUUUCAUGUAUUGUGUCUGUGACAGGAAGCCCAGAUCAAUUAGCAGGAGAGGAAAAAAAGGCAAGAACUCUUGGAAUCAAUAACCGAACCGUUCACUGCUUCUCUACUGCCCCUUAAUCAUCCUUUAGCGUCUCUUCAGCUUUUUACCACAUUGUGAGGAUGGAGUGGACUCUUUCAAGCCCCUUACAUGCAGAACUGGAAGCCAGAAGUCAAGACGAAUCCGACCACCUUGUUUCAUUCUGCCAAGAUGCUCCAGCCUUCAGUCGGAUCAGAUCAAACUCUUGAGAAGUAAGAGGGCUAAAGGGCAGAAGAAUUUGUGGAGUCAAGCAGAAGAAGUGUGACAUGGCCUGCUCUGAAGGACGACUUUUCAAGCCCUCUGCGUAAGGAAGAAUUAAUUUCCUUUUUGUAGCAAGAACUAAUUGACCCGCCUCACCAAACUCCGUGACUUCCGACAGUUCACAGAAUGCAGAAGCUGAACUCUCUUAAAGUUGCCAAGCAACAGGUCACACAAUUCCACAAAUACCACCUUCCAUCCCCCCAAAUUUCAACUAGCAAACUUAGAAGUUAUAUAACUUUCUGGCUUUUGCUCUAAGCGAUAUACUGCUACAAAUUAUGGCAAGAAAGCAGGUGGCCACUGCUUUUAUAAAUAAAAGAGUGAAAGGUUUAAGAUGUGGAACAAGAGGACAGUGCCAAGCAUUCAUUUCCUCUAAAGACUGGCCUCCAAGGGUCUGGAGGCAAACGUGCCCCUCUUGUGAUGUCAGCGAGAGCAGGUGACUCAAACGGCUUCUUGCGCGUCGUACAGCAAUGAUGCUGAAGCUGGCGGCGUGCUGAAGUCGCCCCAGGACCUGGGAAAAUCAGCACGCCAGCCCAUAGAUUCUGAUUGACUUGGUCUGGAGUAGGGCCCAGGCUUUGGUAAUUUUCAAAAGCUUAUUUCUGGAAGGUUCUAAAGAGCAGCCAGGGUUAAGAAUUAAGGUCACUGAAACACCACUGUGAACCUUUUUUAGGAUCUUCUGUUCACCAGAUUUCCUCUAUCCUUCACUAAUAAUUACUCUAAACCUGGUUACUACGCUUGCCUCUCCUCCACACAAUUGUUAUUCAUUGGCAAACCGGAACAGAUCUUUCUAUUUUUGUCCUUUCUCUGAUCAAUUCUUUUUUCUUUUAAUUAAUUUUUAUUGGAGUAUAGUUGCUUCACAAUGUUGGGCAGAAGUUCUCAGCCCUCUGUGUUCAUUCACGUAACCUGUGGGA